Molecule: ribosomal RNA, 443 nt
Filed under: uncultured bacterium
Lineage: Bacteria
Description: partial 16S ribosomal RNA
Rfam family: Bacterial small subunit ribosomal RNA
Source: RNAcentral
CCUACGGGUGGCAGCAGUGGGGGAUAUUGGACAAUGGGGGAAAGCCUGACCCAGCGACGCCGCGUGAGGGAAGAAGGCUUUCGGUUUGUAAACCUCUAUCAGCAGGGAAGAAAGAAAUGACGGUACCUGAGGAAUAAGCCACGGCUAACUACGUGCCAGCAGCCGCGGUAAUACGUAGGGGGCAAGCGUUAUCCGGAAUUACUGGGUGUAAAGGGCGCGUAGGCGGGAAAGCAAGUCAGGAGUGAAAGCCGGGGGUCCACCCUCUGGACUGCAUUUGAAACUGUGUAACUGGAGUGCUGGAGAGGCAGGCGGAAUUCCUAGUGUAGCGGUGAAAUGCGUAGAUAUUAGGAGGAACACCAGUGGCGAAGGCGGCCUGCUGGACUGUAACUGACGCUGAGGCGCGAAAGCGUGGGGAGCAAACAGGAUUAGAUACCCGUGUAGUC